CUUCCCGUCUGUCUUUUUUGGAUUGAGCUGAAUCCUACUGCUUUUUAUCCAUCUGCUUAUUUCUUCCAGGCAUUGGCGACAGCUGAAAGCACAUCAGCAGAGACAGCGAUGAACAGACAAGUGCUGUCUGCUUAUUGAUUGUGUGUUAUUCGACUUUAGACUCAGUCUUCCUGUGGGGUCCCAGAAACACAUGGAAUAGGAAAAGUGGGAAUACAAAGACUUUGGGGACAAAGGAGCAGCUGACUUCAGUGACCUGUAGAUGUCACGGCAAUUAUUCCUGCUGGGUGCUGCGGGGAUGCCAUCACCAUGCUAAGAGCUCAUUUCUGUCCUGUGCUCCUAACCGCCCGUCAUCACUCCGGAACAUCUGCAGAGUUUUUCCAGGGCCCAUAUCUCUCAGCGAGCAUCUCCAGCUGAUGUGCUCUGCCUGCGCGUUCUUGGCUCCCUCCGAAUGGCAUCGGCACCAGAGCCCAGACUGGUAACUCGUCCAUCGCAUAAAUGUUACCUCCAGGCUACAGCAUUCAGUGGAGUGUGAAAUCACAAUUAACGGAGCAAGUGUUUUGUAAGUGAACAGAGACUGCUGCAAAUUACAUCCUGCUAUUAGCUGAUUUCAGAACAACACUGUUGAGCAGCUUCAUGAUUACUGGGCUGUGGCGUGUAUUAAAAAAACA
This 668-nucleotide long non-coding RNA is filed under the name Anser brachyrhynchus (Pink-footed goose). RNAcentral describes it as "lncRNA (ENSABRG00000014077.1)". The record is from RNAcentral. Lineage: Eukaryota; Metazoa; Chordata; Aves; Anseriformes; Anatidae.